UUAAAUCAAUAUGUCAAUAUGGCUACUGGGUGUAAAAGAUAAAUCUUAUUUUAAUGAGUUUUAGAUAAUUUUAGUUGUAUUUCUUUGUAAUUUUGUGUUGUACAAAGAUUAAUUUAACAUUUUCUCUGGAAGUAUUAAUUUAGAAAGAUAAUAUGCUUCAUUGGUGUUGUGUUUUGAAGUGUGAAAUGCAAAGUAAUUGUGAUAGUCAAGAUAAAGUUCACUUUUAAACUGAACUAAAUAAGGUAUCUGAGAGACAACAAUGGUUAAAUGCAAUACAAUGUACAGGUUUUACUAGCGAAAUGAAAAUUUUCCUGUCCUGUCUGCUGUAAUCAUUUUAUAUCUGGAAAACCAGCCGACUUAAUCGAUAAUAACAAUCUCCAGAUUGGGUUCCUUCAAUAAAUAUGGUCUAUAAACACAAUGAAAUAAGUUCCCCAAAAUCUAAAAUGGAGUGGUAUCAAAGGAGAAUUAAAGGGAAAAAUAUUCAUAUUGAAAUUAUUUAUAAGGCACUGGACUGUCUUAAAUUCUACAAUAAUACUAGAAUCAGCUGAGAGAAGUGGUCUACAAAAAACCAGGAAGGAAACGGAAUAUGUGGCUACGAAAGGCAAAAGAAAGGUUUACAAAGCAAAUGUGACACAUUUUUUUGAAAUAU
Long non-coding RNA from Diabrotica virgifera virgifera (western corn rootworm), 649 nucleotides. RefSeq lists it as uncharacterized. The transcript is spliced from 3 exons. NCBI's taxonomy places the organism in Eukaryota, Metazoa, Arthropoda, Insecta, Coleoptera, Chrysomelidae. The record is from RefSeq and is a predicted model, not a curated record.